Arachis ipaensis is the source of this 915-nucleotide non-coding RNA. Lineage: Eukaryota; Viridiplantae; Streptophyta; Magnoliopsida; Fabales; Fabaceae. The record is from RefSeq and is a predicted model, not a curated record.
UACCAUUCCACUAAAUCUACUUUUCUAUUCUCACUUUUUUUAUAUAAUUACAUCUUGUCACAACCACCUUGACCUCCUUCAUAUGUCCUAUAACCUCUUUACCCUUUGUUCUUUCAACCUCUUCAAAUUUCUAAUCAUUUAUGGCUGACACUCCUUCUUACCAUUGUUACUUCGAUUUUUCGAAUUUCAUUACACAAACCCACAUCUUUUCUCCCUCAAGAUCCUUUCCCUUUUUCACUCUGAUUCCUCUGUAAAUUAGAAUCAAUACUCUUGUAAAUUCUUUGUCGCCAUGAUAAAUUUAAGUUUUAUAAUAUGAUGAUUGUGACAAUGACGAUGAGCGUGUAGUAAGGCGGUGACGUUGAAGAUGCUUCUGCUGCUUAACAUGCCACUGCAUCAGCAGUUGUUUGUACUCAACGGAAUGGUAGACUUUGUAAGACACACGGGAGGACAAGUGGAGGCCUUGACUCCCCCAACUUUAAAAAAAAAUAGUACCAUAGCCUCACUGUCAUUGAAGUCUUCAAUCAUAUCAAUUAAGGUGUAAUAGGUAGGAAUGGCUUGAUUAGAAUAGAAGAGGAGCAUGCAAGUGGGAGGAAACAUGAAGAAACAAAGGAGAAAAGCAUUUCGAAGUGUGUAUGCGCAUAACCUCUUGUGCGUAUGCACAAGUACCAGCGCGUGACUUCAUUAAAAAGUCACGUGACUCGCGAAUUGGAGGCUUUGGAGGCCCAAAUCUGAUGGCCUAGAGCUCAUAUGGAGGGGGCAACACUUGAGGAAAGAUACCAUAUCAUUAGUAGUAGGAUUAGGUAGUUUUAAGAGGCUUUAGGUUUUAGUUUCUCUUAGUUUUUCUCUCAACUUUCUUAAGAUUUUUAUUAGGGUUUAUGUUGAAAAGUGCUAUUUCCAUUUCGAUCUUGAAUUCUA